This 583-nucleotide ribosomal RNA is filed under the name uncultured bacterium. Its description in RNAcentral is "partial 16S ribosomal RNA". It matches the Rfam family "Bacterial small subunit ribosomal RNA", at positions 355 to 1375 of the family's 1533-position model. The record is from RNAcentral.
UGGGGAAUUUUGGACAAUGGGCGAAAGCCUGAUCCAGCAAUGCCGCGUGUGUGAAGAAGGCCUUCGGGUUGUAAAGCACUUUUGUCCGGAAAGAAAUCCUUGGCUCUAAUACAGUCGGGGGAUGACGGUACCGGAAGAAUAAGCACCGGCUAACUACGUGCCAGCAGCCGCGGUAAUACGUAGGGUGCAAGCGUUAAUCGGAAUUACUGGGCGUAAAGCGUGCGCAGGCGGUUUGCUAAGACCGAUGUGAAAUCCCCGGGCUCAACCUGGGAACUGCAUUGGUGACUGGCAGGCUAGAGUAUGGCAGAGGGGGGUAGAAUUCCACGUGUAGCAGUGAAAUGCGUAGAGAUGUGGAGGAAUACCGAUGGCGAAGGCAGCCCCCUGGGCCAAUACUGACGCUCAUGCACGAAAGCGUGGGGAGCAAACAGGAUUAGAUACCCUGGUAGUCCACGCCCUAAACGAUGUCAACUAGUUGUUGGGGAUUCAUUUCCUAGUAACGUAGCUAACGCGUGAAGUUGACCGCCUGGGGAGUACGGUCGCAAGAUUAAAACUCAAUGAAUUGACGGGGUCAUAGCUGUUUCCU